This 401-nucleotide ribosomal RNA is filed under the name uncultured bacterium. RNAcentral describes it as "bacterial SSU rRNA". It matches the Rfam family "Bacterial small subunit ribosomal RNA", at positions 356 to 773 of the family's 1533-position model. The record is from RNAcentral.
GAGGAAUAUUGCACAAUGGGCGAAAGCCUGAUGCAGCAACGCCGCGUAGGGGAUGAAGGUCUUCGGAUCGUAAACCCUUUUUCUGGGGGACGAGAAAGGACGGUACCCCAGGAAUAAGUCUCGGCUAACUACGUGCCAGCAGCCGCGGUAAAACGUAGGAGGCGAGCGUUAUCCGGAAUUACUGGGCGUAAAGCGCACGCAGGCGGUUUCGUUAGUCCGACGUGAAAGCUCCUGGCUUAACUGGGAGAGGCCGUUGGAUACUGCGGAACUUGAGGUUGGGAGAGGAAAGUGGAAUUCCCGGUGUAGUGGUGGAAUGCGUAGAUAUCGGGAGGAACUCCAGUGGCGAAAGCGACUUUCUGGCCUACACCUGACGCUGAGGUGCGAAAGCGUGGGGAGCGAAC